GGAACCCCUCCUCUCAGGGAUGCUACGGAAAAUGCCAAAUCUCCUAAUUACCCGCCCGGAUUCUCGGCUCAAUGGCAUCGACGGUCCUCACCUCGUGUCGAACAGUCCGAAGUCCGUGCAGAUGCCUUCCAGGGAUUGCCGCCCGGAGCGAUUCCGGCCUUCCUUCACAACCUACAGAAUUCGGCGGGGUAUAACAUCGCAAAACCGAUAGCCAGACCCGCGGCCUAUCAUCCCCAUCAUCCCGCCCACCCUGCCCAUCAUCCGGGCCAACAUCAGCUGCCCCCAAACGCCCAUCACACGCUGCAUCAGUUGCUGGCUUGCAGAGGACCUUACCUAA
RNAcentral lists this unclassified non-coding RNA (337 nucleotides) under Athalia rosae (coleseed sawfly). RNAcentral describes it as "misc RNA ENSAEAG00005010251.1". The record is from RNAcentral. Lineage: Eukaryota; Metazoa; Arthropoda; Insecta; Hymenoptera; Athaliidae.